This 312-nucleotide unclassified non-coding RNA is filed under the name plant metagenome. Its description in RNAcentral is "partial contains 5.8S ribosomal RNA, internal transcribed spacer 2, and large subunit ribosomal RNA". The stretch from base 1 to 105 matches the Rfam family "5.8S ribosomal RNA", at positions 50 to 154 of the family's 154-position model. The record is from RNAcentral.
GAAAUGCGAUAAGUAAUGUGAAUUGCAGAAUUCCGUGAAUCAUCGAAUCUUUGAACGCACAUCGCGCCCUCUGGCAUUCCGGGGGGGAUGCCUGUCCGAGCGUCAUUACGCACCCUCAAGCCCGGCUUGUGUGAUGGGCCCCGGCGUCUCGUUCGCGAGACGGGCCCGAAAGGCAGCGGCGGCGUCGACCCGAUGAGCCCGAGCGUAUGGGGACUUCUGUCACACGUUCGCGGUGCGGACCGGCGCCUGCUUGACUUUUCUGAUUAUCCAGGUUGACCUCGGAUCAGGUAGGGAUACCCGCUGAACUUAAGC